Molecule: long non-coding RNA, 2257 nt
Organism: Grus americana (Whooping crane)
Lineage: Eukaryota; Metazoa; Chordata; Aves; Gruiformes; Gruidae
Exons: 3
Source: RefSeq, a predicted model, not a curated record
CAUUCUCAGUAGUCAUUGUCCUGAUAUCUGUUAAAUAUUCUGCUACUUUUUCUGAAUGACCACAGAAAGAAGUCUAAAGUUGUAUGUUUACUGGAAAUUGUAUAAAUUAUGUGAAUUAUUAGUCAUACAAAAAUAUUAUUUCUAUAAAACAAGGAAGAACAUAUGUUUCCUAUUUGACGUAAAACACAGUCGUCUUACAAAGAGACAGAAAACAGUGAAUUCCAAGCAACAGAAGAAAUAGUAAUCCAGAAUAGUUUUAAAGUGUAUUGCCACAGCCUAUGCCAGUCACUGAAGAUGUUUUCUACUCCUUCCUCCACCUGUUUGGUUUCUUCAUACAAAACCACACUGUGCAAGAAGAGGGAUUUUAUAUCAGGACUUGAUUGAUAACUCAAUACUGAUCUUCCAAACUUCUGUUAGUACUUGGGGAACUCCAAAAUCUCUCUUUACCUACAGUCAAGUGUAAGAAGAGAAGCUGGAGGGAAAAGUGCCAUUCUGAGCAGUUUCUCUCAAAAUACUGCAGUGUACAGCACAGGAGAGCGGUGGCAAAAGUUUUUAUUUCAUGGACUAAGUGCAUUUUUCUUGCUUACUCUGGAAGGUACACGGUAGGCAGUUCCCCUCUGCAUGAUGUCAGCAGGGAGGGCCUGGUGCUGUGCAGCAUCCUGAGGAGUUCUCCUGACCCAGUCCCAAAUGCCUUGUACACCAACGCCUGUUGCUUCCUGGACUUGGCAUGCAUAUCCCAGAGAAUCCCAUCCGCUUUCGUUACACCAUCAGUAUUCACUCAGAUGAUGGCUUCAGACCUCACCUAUCUCAAAGACAUUGAAUUUUUCCGUAGUUCACCUUUUUACAAUGUGUGGCUCAAGGUUUCUUACCAAUGUUGGUAGAAUUUCAUACUGCCAAAGAUAAAGUGAAUGUUUCAAGGACCAUCCUCUGUGAGCUGUUCACGGUGUUCAGACCUGGCAAACUGCUUGGACCAUCAAGUAUUAGUGGGCCUGAUUUUGUGUCUGCCUCCACUCCUAUUCCCCUACACUGCUAAAAGCUAAAAGUUUUGGUGCAACUAGUACCCACCAACACUGUACAUCCCUCCUGCCAACUUCAUCUUCACGAUGAUUGAGUUCCCUGCCAUAUACCUGAGGGAUGGAAAAAAAGGGGACAUCUGGGGCAAAUCACUCUGCUUUACUGCUGAGCUAGCACUGACCAUGGAGAUAACACUAAAUGUGAAACCCAAAAAAUGUCUUGCAAUCAAGACCAUAAUUUUUUGUGUUUCCCUCAGUCUGCUGUCCUCCAGUUAUAAGCAAGUGAAGUCUGCAAAAUAUUUCACCAAUACUUCACCCUCUUCUGAUACUGAUCAAGGGGAAGUUUUUUGGCCUUAAUUUAAAUCAGGCCUUUAGAGCAAAGAAGUGGUUUGUUAACUUGAGGAAUGUUCCAGUUUCUAAGCAUGAUUGAUUUUGGCAGGGCUCACGUAGAGUAGUCAAUAUAAUGAUAAACUGUCAGCUGUUAUGGAGCUGUGAAUCAAAUGUUCUGCUGAGGAACUGAAGGUCUGCCCCUUGAAAAGGUUAUCGUCUUGCAUAGUCCACAGUUUUUCUUUUUUUUUUUCAGGAAAAUGACUUCACUUGUAUAACUGUCAAAGGUUUAAUAUAUAGGCUGUAAAAAUGAAACAUUUUCUGCAUUAAUUAGCCUAAAGCAGAAAGAAAAUAUUUUUGCCAUUAUAGCAGUUCCCCAUUGUUAGCCAUAUUUCAACAUAACUCAAAGCUUGAGCAGUGUUCAAAGUUGGUUUUUUGGGGGCUGAGAAAAAGUACAACUGUUUUAAAGAAUCUCACGUAAACCACAUAGUAUUAUUUCUCUGGCUCAGUGAUCCAGUUUUUACUGUUUUAUAUUUAGGUGGACAGUAGAUACACUCAAAACUCUUUUGGCAAGAGAAGAGCUAAUGUGUGGGGGGUACACUGUAAAAUUUCACUGGAUGGAUGGAUCUUUUUUCUUACAUUACAACUAUGAUUUCAAUUAUUAUUCAAAAUUAUUGCUGUGUUUUAUAAACACAGAAAUGGACAGGGUUAUUGACACACAAAUUCAGUUUAUUUAUUCUUAUUUUAAGUGAAUCUCUUGGGAAUUGUCAUAUAUAAACACAAAAAAGACCUCAAUCAAUGCAAGUUCAUCUGAAAUGCUUUUAUUUCUGAAAUUAAAUAAUGCUUGUCAUCCCUCUUUAUGUCAUUUUCUUUUCAGUUGUAUGAACAGAUAAGCUGCACUGCAAUGUUCCAAGUUU